GGCAUCCUGCAGGAAUGAAAACUGCCUCUCCAAGUCUUUGCUCGAAUGUCCAAGGUUCAAUCCCUAAAAUGGUAAGCAUCCACAUUUUGAGUUUAUUAAACAAAAUGUGAUCCUUGUUCUUAAGGAAAGAUAACGAACAAGGUAAAUUACUAACCGAAUUCUUCCUUCAGUUUUCUCUUGUGCUCCAUAGUUAGGUAGAAGCUCUGGUCAUGGAUUGGAUGAAAAACCUGAUCAACCGGACAACAGAAAGUGUGCCUAAAUUCCUUUGCAUGCUUUAAAAGAUACUCAUUCAACUUGGGUACGUCUUCCCUUCUGAAAAUGUCCCACAAGGCACCUCCAGUUGUCUCUGAAUCAUCAGAGGUUUUCUCCUCCCCUCUAAUAUCACUAGACAUCUUCAUAGGAUAUUCAUCAGCCUCACAUUUGAGGCGCUCUCUUUCAUCUUGAGUUCUAUGCCUCUGUUUCACUAUUUCAAUUGCAGACUGCUGCUCAUCAGUUAUAGCCAUCUCUGCUGUGUGUGUCAAAAUAUUUAUCUGACCAAUUCAAAAUUUUAAAAUAUUAGCUUGUCAUGAAAUGAGCCUGAAAAAGUAAUGGUUGCAAUCUUAGCAGGUAAUGCAUCAUGGACAGAAUACUGAACUGGGAAAAGCAAUAAACUGCUAUCAAGGUGAGAAUAAACAUAAAACUAGAUUGUGGCAUGUGGUUUAAUUUACCUGGAAUGUGACAAUUGUCAAAAUAUAUUGUAUAG
RNAcentral lists this long non-coding RNA (742 nucleotides) under Solanum tuberosum (potato). RNAcentral's name for it is "long non-coding RNA (STUB_LNC003082)". The record is from RNAcentral. Lineage: Eukaryota; Viridiplantae; Streptophyta; Magnoliopsida; Solanales; Solanaceae.